ACGGAAGGCAGCAGUGGGGAAUAUUGCACAAUGGGGGAAACCCUGAUGCAGCAACGCCGCGUGAGUGAUGAAGUAUUUCGGUAUGUAAAGCUCUAUCAGCAGGGAAGAAAAUGACGGUACCUGACUAAGAAGCCCCGGCUAACUACGUGCCAGCAGCCGCGGUAAUACGUAUGGAGCAAGCGUCAUCCGGAUUUACUGGGUGUAAAGGGAGCGUAGACGGCUUUGCAAGUCUGAAGUGAAAGCCCGGGGCUCAACCCCGGAACUGCUUUGGAAACUGUAGAGCUAGAGUACAGGAGAGGUAAGCGGAAUUCCUAGUGUAGCGGUGAAAUGCGUAGAUAUUAGGAGGAACACCAGUGGCGAAGGCGGCUUACUGGACUGUAACUGACGUUGAGGCUCGAAAGCGUGGGGAGCAAACAGGAUUAGAUACCCUGGUA
RNAcentral lists this ribosomal RNA (434 nucleotides) under uncultured Clostridium sp. Its description in RNAcentral is "partial 16S ribosomal RNA". It matches the Rfam family "Bacterial small subunit ribosomal RNA", at positions 341 to 792 of the family's 1533-position model. Lineage: Bacteria; Bacillati; Bacillota; Clostridia; Eubacteriales; Clostridiaceae. The record is from RNAcentral.